ACAAUCAAAUUUGGAGCGGCAAUUGGAGUUGAUAGAGACUCAUCAACAGGAGGUUGAUAAGGCUUUACAGAGUAUGGAGGAAGAAGCUGAACGUACUUACAAGGAUGAACGUGGUUUGCUUCUUGACGAUGAAGCUGCAUCGACAAGAGAUGCAAUGUAUGAGCAAUCUGAAUUAAUUGAAAGGGAACUUGAGCAGAUGACUGAACAAAUCAAAUCGGUUAUUCAAUCCCUUAAUUCAAACCAGGGUGGAGAACUUGAUACCCUUG
Long non-coding RNA from Vigna unguiculata (cowpea), 266 nucleotides. RefSeq lists it as uncharacterized. NCBI's taxonomy places the organism in Eukaryota, Viridiplantae, Streptophyta, Magnoliopsida, Fabales, Fabaceae. The record is from RefSeq and is a predicted model, not a curated record.